UGUGGGAGUUGAAAGCUUACGGCUGAAGUAUCUCUGGAUGUUGUCGAGCUCACUUAGUUUCUUCCUGUAAAAAUAAGGAUUGGCUUGGAUUUAAAAAAAAAAAACAACAACAAAGAAGAGAAUGUCUAUGUGAGGAAUGAUACCUGAGUGCUGAAAACAGGAAGGAGCUGGAGGGAUUGAUGUCGCCAGUGCUGCUGCUGCAGGCAGAAUGAGCCGCUGUUUGCUCCUGCAGACUCUGAUGGAAACAGCCUCUCCGUGAUGUCGGGUGACGAGAUCUUUUGCUCGGUGUGCUGGCUGAUGUGAGAGGGGAAGCUGCUGUACGUGGCCGUGGUAUGAUAGAGGACAGGCAGUGCCUGGAAUAAAGCCUUCUAAGAAAACACAUUCAUGAAAUUGUGGCCAAUUAAAAAUGUCUUGGACCCCCUUCAGCGGAGUGAUUGACACUUUGAGCUGGCCGUGACACUGACCGCUGAAGUCUGUGAUGUUGUACCAACCACACACCGACUGGAACCCACAGACUAACGGGCACAGGUCUACAGACGCAAAUCCAAUCACCCUCUCCAUUUCUAUGGAAGAAAUCCCCCCCAAGAGAGAAUACAUUUAUCAAAUGAAUCAUGUUAUGAAUCAUUGAAAUGUAUAUUGUGAUGUGUAACUGCUUCCUGUACCUCCUUUGUGCCAGACUUUGAACACAAGUGAUUGUUGUGGAUCCACCAGCAGCUCAUUUGAAAGCCUGUGAAUAAAAAAGGAAG
Eleginops maclovinus (Patagonian blennie) is the source of this 746-nucleotide long non-coding RNA. RefSeq lists it as uncharacterized. Lineage: Eukaryota; Metazoa; Chordata; Actinopteri; Perciformes; Eleginopidae. The record is from RefSeq and is a predicted model, not a curated record. The transcript is spliced from 3 exons.